CAUCGGCUUGCUUCCCUUAUCUUCCCUCUCGUCUGCUUGCCACCGGCCAUAUGUGCGCCAACUUGCUCCAGGAGCCUCCCCAUCUCGUCCUGCACCUCGAGCUGCCAUUUCCCAGGCCGGCCGAGCCAUUCCCCGCCGUAAUCGGCGAUUCCGGCCGGGCGGAGCAGCUUCCCCCGCGGAAGCCCAGCCGCCGUCGACCCUCUCCCUCAAGUCCUCCGCCCGAAUUGAGCUCCUGGUCGCGCGCUGUGCCGCCGUGUCUCCACGCAUCGGCAGUUCCGCCUGUCGCGCCCACCGAUGCGCCGCACCUUGGGGAGCCUCGCCCAGCCGCUUUCGCUACCAAGCGCUCGUCGUCGAUGAGCGUCUGAACGGCCGGCGCACGAGGUCAGCCCGCCUCGGGGCACACCUGGCUGCCCUGCGGGACUCUACAAGUGAGGCUCGAUCCCAGGAGGCCGCGUCGCUUCUCCAUGGCCACCAUUGUCGCCGGAAUCGCCCUUUCCCCCGUGCUCCUCUGCUUCAAAUCGCAACCAAGGACCUCGGACUCCCUCGCUCAAAGGAUCUGCAUCUCUCCCUCAAGUCUGGAUCUCUGGGUUCCUUCUCUCCCCCGUUACUCCUGUUUCCUACAUCUCUGCAGGCGACGCCCCGCGGCUGACCCCAGACCCGCUGCCCCGAGGCCGACGACGCCAGCCAGCGCCGACCCCAGGAGCCACAGCCACCGUUCCGCGGCCAGCCACUAGCAGCGCGUGUCCAAUAGGGGCAGGGCAGGGACAGGCGAGCGAUGGCCCACAGGCACGUGCGGCAUGGGCUCCUGCGGCUGGCCAGCGGAGGCCGGAGGCUUGCGCCCCCCCCCCCCCCCCCCCACGGGGCUCAUCAAGGUGGACCAGGUCCUCUACUCCUCCGUCGUGUACCCGCACAACUAUGGCUUCAUCCCCCAUCGACGUCCUAGUCCUCACGCAGGAACCAGUUCGGCCACCUCCCAUCCACGGUCACCUUCAGUUUCGGCCUGUUGCCAAAUCAUAUUAAUAUAUGAUCAUUUAGAUAAUUGUCUAUACAUUUCUAUUCAGCUAUAUUAAUUGUAGACCUCACCACUGAUUGCAACGGUACCUAAAAGCAAAUAGAAUCACAUAAGAGUAUAUUAUAGAUCUUCUUUUAUUUUUUUGAUUUUGGCCUAGAAUAUCUUUCUUUAUACUUAGUCAAGUUAUCUUAAAAUACCAUUUCAUAUUAGCAGUUGUACGUUGCAUAUUUAUUUUCAGGUUUAUUGAAAUGCCUGCAAAGUUGAAGAGAUUCCAGAAAUUGUAAGAUUUUCGAUACGUUUGACCUUCAGUCUUGAUGCUUCAUUAUUUUAGUUGGGACUGAAAGUUAAUACAUCUUUGGGAGGCUACCGAUCAGGAUAGGCAUCCUAACUGAAGCAAUUCUUGGAAGAGAUAGUUUCAAAGUAUUGUAAAUUCAUGUCAUUCAGUAUGCUAAUGAUUCACUUAAAAUGUGAUAUGAACCUGUAUCACGCUAGCUAUUGUACUUAUCUAAAAAUAGAUUUCAUUUCUGGGACAUAUUUAUUUUCCCAGAAAGUUAACAAGGAACGACGGUGCAAAAGAAUUAUAAAUUAGUUCAAAGGAAAAGUUGUUUGCCAACCAUAUUAUCAUAGUUAAUUGUGUUUACAUAUUGCUGGGUAUGCUACAAACAGCUCUUUACACAGCGACCAAAUAAAAUUAAUCUUAUCCAUGCAAAUGUACUAGGUUUUCGUUUCAUAUCACAAAUAGAUCUUGCAAUACAAUGAGGUCUGUCCAGUAAAACUAUCUAAAUCACACCUGCUUACAUUCAGUUACAUUUUCCAUGUUUCCUUUUAUUUUAUUUUUUCUAGAACUACCUUUUGUUUUUUGCUCAUACCAGUCAAUUAAGAAGCUUAGCAUAGCAUCUUUUUUUUGAGCUAAUUGUUUACAAAUGUGCUCUUAUAAACAGUUGCAGGCUGUGGCCGUUUAAAGCAGAUUAGUUUGCAUUGAAAUGGCUGCAUGGUUCAAAUUUGAACCUUAACUAAUAUUAUCAUGGCAGCAUCUUGUGAACUGCUUCAACGUCCAUCGACUCUUGAACUGGCGCAAAAGCAGUCAGCUGUUUUAUUUUGCUGAAAUGUCAUGUUAUCCCGGUGAGCAAAUUUGAAACUUAUUACCAUGUAGUUCUUGAGAUGUAUCAAAUCUUUGACAUUGGCAGUUCUCUGCAUUUGCAUACUCUAUUUCAGCAGUACAAGGUUGAAUGAUUGACUAGCUAGAUCAGUGGUGUGUGACGUUGUGAUGUGUGAAGACGCAAUUAGUAGCAGACAAAAAAAACUGCUUACUCGGCUGAUCGCGUGAAACUAGGUACAAAAGAGUUUGAAAAUAGGUAUUCGUGUUCCAAGUAUGAAAACGUUGACAAGUUAUGCUUCCUCUUGUCAUGCUGAUCAUAUAAAUGGCCUAUCAUAGAAGAGUUCUUGUUCUUGACCUAUGAUGACAUUGCACGUGUCCCACAAAUUACUCCAGAUCCGUAGCAUACAAUUGGACUUGUGCUUUUUCCAGGUUCUCCUCUCCUUAUUUACUCUGACCAUAUCCUCUUCUGGUAAUCUUUUACCAGUACUUUGUCAAACGAUUCUGUGUAAAGCAAAGAAGCCUUGCUCUUCUACAAAAUCUUGAUAUUCCAAGAUCAUUCAGCUUCUAUCAAACGAUUUAUGUAAAGUCAAGAAGCCUUGCCCCCAGAUAAAAUAUUUAUAUUCCAAGAUAAUUUAGCUUCAAUCAGCAGCGUCACCAAAGUUGAUUAGUGGCCUUCGGCACUUAGAACGGAGAAACUUUAUUACCAUCGCAUUAUGUACUAUGGUCUGAACAUUUCUAUUUAUUACUAUUUUAUUUCUUACAAAAUACACGCCUACUAACUAUUUUACUAA
Long non-coding RNA from Panicum virgatum (switchgrass), 2902 nucleotides. RefSeq lists it as uncharacterized. The record is from RefSeq and is a predicted model, not a curated record. The transcript has 5 exons. Lineage: Eukaryota; Viridiplantae; Streptophyta; Magnoliopsida; Poales; Poaceae.